RNAcentral lists this ribosomal RNA (735 nucleotides) under uncultured bacterium. RNAcentral's name for it is "bacterial SSU rRNA". It matches the Rfam family "Bacterial small subunit ribosomal RNA", at positions 60 to 794 of the family's 1533-position model. The record is from RNAcentral.
AGUCGACGAAGCACCUUAUUCUGAUUUCUUCGGAAUGAAAAAUUUGGUGACUGAGUGGCGGACGGGUGAGUAACGCGUGGGUAACCUGCCUCAUACAGGGGGAUAACAGUUAGAAAUGACUGCUAAUACCGCAUAAGACCACAGCACCGCAUGGUGCAGGGGUAAAAACUCCGGUGGUAUGAGAUGGACCCGCGUCUGAUUAGGUAGUUGGUGGGGUAACGGCCUACCAAGCCGACGAUCAGUAGCCGACCUGAGAGGGUGACCGGCCACAUUGGGACUGAGACACGGCCCAAACUCCUACGGGAGGCAGCAGUGGGGAAUAUUGCACAAUGGGGGAAACCCUGAUGCAGCGACGCCGCGUGAGCGAUGAAGUAUUUCGGUAUGUAAAGCUCUAUCAGCAGGGAAGAAAAUGACGGUACCUGACUAAGAAGCACCGGCUAAAUACGUGCCAGCAGCCGCGGUAAUACGUAUGGUGCAAGCGUUAUCCGGAUUUACUGGGUGUAAAGGGAGCGUAGACGGAGUGGCAAGUCUGAUGUGAAAACCCGGGGCUCAACCCCGGGACUGCAUUGGAAACUGUCAAUCUAGAGUACCGGAGAGGUAAGCGGAAUUCCUAGUGUAGCGGUGAAAUGCGUAGAUAUUAGGAGGAACACCAGUGGCGAAGGCGGCUUACUGGACGGUAACUGACGUUGAGGCUCGAAAGCGUGGGGAGCAAACAGGAUUAGAUACCCUGGUAGU